RNAcentral lists this ribosomal RNA (402 nucleotides) under uncultured bacterium. RNAcentral describes it as "bacterial SSU rRNA". It matches the Rfam family "Bacterial small subunit ribosomal RNA", at positions 355 to 774 of the family's 1533-position model. The record is from RNAcentral.
UGGGGAAUAUUGCACGAUGGGCGAAAGCCUGAUGCAGCAACGCCGCGUGAGUGAUGAAGGCCUUCGGGUUGUAAAGCUCUGUCUUCUGGGACGAUAAUGACGGUACCAGAGGAGGAAGCCACGGCUAACUACGUGCCAGCAGCCGCGGUAAUACGUAGGUGGCAAGCGUUGUCCGGAUUUACUGGGCGUAAAGGAUGCGUAGGCGGAUACUUAAGUCAGAUGUGAAAAUCCCGGGCUUAACUUGGGAACUGCAUUUGAAACUGGGUAUCUAGAGUGCGGGAGAGGAAAGUGGAAUUCCUAGUGUAGCGGUGAAAUGCGUAGAGAUUAGGAAGAACACCAGUGGCGAAGGCGACUUUCUGGACCGUAACUGACGCUGAGGCAUGAAAGCGUGGGGAGCAAACA